This 253-nucleotide ribosomal RNA is filed under the name uncultured bacterium. RNAcentral describes it as "partial 16S ribosomal RNA". It matches the Rfam family "Bacterial small subunit ribosomal RNA", at positions 524 to 776 of the family's 1533-position model. The record is from RNAcentral.
UACGUAGGGGGCAAGCGUUGUCCGGAAUCAUUGGGCGUAAAGAGCGUGUAGGCGGUCCGGUAAGUCGGCUGUGAAAGUCCAGGGCUCAACCCUGGGAUGCCGGUCGAUACUGCCGGACUAGAGUUCGGAAGAGGCGAGUGGAAUUCCCGGUGUAGCGGUGAAAUGCGCAGAUAUCGGGAGGAACACCUAUGGCGAAGGCAGCUCGCUGGGACGUUACUGACGCUGAGGCACGAAGGUCAGGGGAGCAAACGGG